AACGAACGCUGGCGGCGCGCCUAAUACAUGCAAGUCGAGCGAGAAGGUGUAGCAAUACACUUGUAAAGCGGCGAACGGGUGAGGAAUACAUGGGUAAUCUACCAUCGAGUGGGGAAUAACCAACCGAAAGGUUGGCUAAUACCGCGUACGCCUCCGAGUCUUCGGGUUCGGAGGGAAAGCUGCACUGUGAGUGUAGCGCUCUUUGAUGAGCUCAUGUCCUAUCAGCUUGUUGGUAGGGUAACGGCCUACCAAGGCUUUGACGGGUAGCUGGUCUGAGAGGACGACCAGCCACACUGGGACUGAGACACGGCCCAGACUCCUACGGGAGGCAGCAGUGGGGAAUUUUGGACAAUGGGCGCAAGCCUGAUCCAGCAAUGCCGCGUGCAGGAAGAAGGCCUCGG
RNAcentral lists this ribosomal RNA (401 nucleotides) under uncultured bacterium. RNAcentral describes it as "bacterial SSU rRNA". It matches the Rfam family "Bacterial small subunit ribosomal RNA", at positions 29 to 420 of the family's 1533-position model. The record is from RNAcentral.